GCGGGCGUGGUGAAAUUGGUAAACACAAGGGACUUAAAAUCCCUCGGCCUAACGGCCUUGUCGGUUCAAGUCCGACCGCCCGCACCA
Molecule: transfer RNA, 87 nt
Filed under: Rhodospirillales bacterium
Lineage: Bacteria; Pseudomonadati; Pseudomonadota; Alphaproteobacteria; Rhodospirillales
Description: tRNA-Leu
Rfam family: tRNA
About the family: Transfer RNA (tRNA) molecules are approximately 80 nucleotides in length. Their secondary structure includes four short double-helical elements and three loops (D, anti-codon, and T loops).
Source: RNAcentral